AUCAUUUUUAAAUUAGUAACACCUUCGUGAAUUUGUAACUAUACUUUUUACCGCCAUAUGUGAGUGAAAUUUCAGUUUGAUUCAGAAGUUCUAUAACAUUCUGUUUCCUAUAAAAAUUAAUUAGUUAUUGAAUUUCAAGUUUACAAGUUGUUUAUAAGUGAAAACUAACAGAGUAAGUUAAAUAAGUGUUAUUAACAAUAAUAAUUAAAAAUUCAAUGAGUCUUGAGCCCUCGUAUGUCAAUAUUUGCAGUGAAUAGGUACAUUGAUAUAUGACUUUCAAAUACAUAAACGUAACAAGGCUAAGUAAAUCGCUUUUUAUAUAGUACGCGACAUAGAUUCAAUAUUUUACUAGGUCAAUCUUUCCAAAUUAUAAGCGACGAAAUAUAGAACGGUAUCUAUUCUCAUUGAUCUGAUUUUUAAGAUACAAGAUAUGAAGUGUUCAUACAAGGUCAGUGCAUACAACGAACGGCUGAAUUAUGGAAUAAAAUUAUUAUUACGGAAACGAAUAAUCACGAAUGUUUUAAAAAACUUAUGUGGUAAUUAUCUAGAGGCUAAGAACAAAAGUUUAAUGAAAUUCAACAUAAUUAACAGUAAUUAAUAUUCAGAUAUACGAAUUUCUGGAGUAAUUACUGAGAAAAACCACAAAUAUGCAUAAGGUAUAUCGUUAAUUGACAAUGUUUUCAUGUUGUUACAGAAGUUAUAUAUUUUAUAACGACUUUAGCAAAAUUUGAAAUCAGUAAUUUAUAACAGCGUCAAAAUAGUUUCGGCGGGCCUGUGCUAACUCAUUAUUCCAAUAUUUUCCAUAAAAGUUUAACUUCUGUUAAAAUGUGCCAACUCGUGAUCGUGGUUGUCAUGAAGAUUAGACAACCAUCCAUGAAAAAUGUUGUUGCUGAAUUUAAAUUUAUUUUAGAUUGAAUUGUACUUGUUUAGUAAUUAUAUUAUUGUCUAAUAAAAAAUAUUCUCCUCGGUCAGUUCAUAGAA
This is a long non-coding RNA of Diorhabda carinulata, 981 nucleotides long. RefSeq lists it as uncharacterized. The record is from RefSeq and is a predicted model, not a curated record. Lineage: Eukaryota; Metazoa; Arthropoda; Insecta; Coleoptera; Chrysomelidae. The transcript is spliced from 2 exons.